ACGGGUGCGGAAUGCGUAGGAAUCUGCCCUAAAGUGGGGGAUAACUCGGGGAAACUCGAGCUAAUACCGCAUAUGCUCUACGGAGUAAAGGGGGCGCAAGCUCUCGCUAUAGGAUGAGCCUACGUCGGAUUAGCUAGUUGGUGGGGUAAAAGCUCACCAAGGCGAUGAUCCGUAGCUGGUCUGAGAGGAUGACCAGCCACACUGGGACUGAGAUACGGCCCAGACUCCUACGGGAGGCAGCAGUGGGGAAUAUUGGACAAUGGGGGAAACCCUGAUCCAGCAAUGCCGCGUGUGUGAAGAAGGCCUUCGGGUUGUAAAGCACUUUCAGUGGGGAGGAAAAGCGCAGGGUUAAUACCUCUGUGUGUUGACGCUACCCACAGAAGAAGCACCGGCUAACUCUGUGCCAGCAGCCGCGGUAAUACAGAGGGUGCAAGCGUUAAUCGGAAUUACUGGGCGUAAAGCGUGCGUAGGCGGAUAUUUAAGUCGAAUGUGAAAUCCCCGGGCUUAACCUGGGAACUGCAUCCGAUACUGGAUAUCUGGAGUAUGGUAGAGGAAAGUGGAAUUCCCGGU
This 570-nucleotide ribosomal RNA is filed under the name uncultured bacterium. RNAcentral's name for it is "bacterial SSU rRNA". It matches the Rfam family "Bacterial small subunit ribosomal RNA", at positions 102 to 674 of the family's 1533-position model. The record is from RNAcentral.